UGGGGAGCUGCUGGUGGUCUUGGCCCUACCCAGGUUUUCCUGUACUGCAGGUUUUUUCCUGGCCUCCCUGAUUAUCCACCCGUAGCAUAAGUGUUUGUAUCUCGUGGACACCAUAUAUCUUAUUUGCGCAGCACGCCAUCAUUACAUACUAUAAAACACACAUCUGUACCAUACUAUAAAUACUUCAUAUUAACUAUUUAUAAUUUUUUCCCGACCAACAUGCUUCACGUGGGGGAUCUACACUUUGUUUCGAUCAAUGGCGGAAAGUGGUGUCCACACGGCCACACUUCGCCCACGGUGAAGCACACACCGGCAAAAGAGAGCAAGGUCCAUAACGGCGGGGGCCCUUACCCUCCUCCUGAUCUUCGCAUCUCUCGGUCACUUCACCACGGGGAAGCCCGGCUCGGACAUGAGAUUCAAUGUCCAUAACGGUGAGGGCCCUUACUCUCACCCUGAUGUUGUUUCUCCAGCUUUUCUGGGGGCCCUUACUCCCAAGAAACCGCACUUUCCGUCACCCAAAUUGGCCACAAAGGAUUUGCGUGAUUUAUUAAGGAGCAAAUUAUUUUAUAAAAUAAAUUAGGAUUAAUAAGAGGCAACAUCCAUACCGAAAACUAUGUAACCUAAACGGAAACGAUAAGCAAAGAAAACAACCGCCUACUCUCCGGGCAACAUCUGCCAAGUGUCAAUGCCAAACUGCCAAUAUAAUCCC
This is a non-coding RNA of Paramuricea clavata, 709 nucleotides long. NCBI's taxonomy places the organism in Eukaryota, Metazoa, Cnidaria, Anthozoa, Malacalcyonacea, Plexauridae. The record is from the annotation of a GenBank genome assembly.